AGGGAAUCUUCCACAAUGGACGCAAGUCUGAUGGAGCAACGCGCGUGAGUGAAGAAGGUCUUCGGAUCGUAAAGCUCUGUUGUUGGUGAAGAAGGAUAGAGGCAGUAACUGGUCUUUAUUUGACGGUAAUCAACCAGAAAGUCACGGCUAACUACGUGCCAGCAGCCGCGGUAAUACGUAGGUGGCAAGCGUUGUCCGGAUUUAUUGGGCGUAAAGCGAGCGCAGGCGGAAUGAUAAGUCUGAUGUGAAAGCCCACGGCUCAACCGUGGAACUGCAUCGGAAACUGUCAUUCUUGAGUGCAGAAGAGGAGAGUGGAACUCCAUGUGUAGCGGUGGAAUGCGUAGAUAUAUGGAAGAACACCAGUGGCGAAGGCGGCUCUCUGGUCUGCAACUGACGCUGAGGCUCGAAAGCAUGGGUAGCGAACAGGAUUAGAUACCCUGGUAGUCCAUGCCGUAAACGAUGAGCGCUAGGUGUUGGGGACUUUCCGGUCCUCAGUGCCGCAG
RNAcentral lists this ribosomal RNA (503 nucleotides) under uncultured bacterium. RNAcentral describes it as "partial 16S ribosomal RNA". It matches the Rfam family "Bacterial small subunit ribosomal RNA", at positions 356 to 851 of the family's 1533-position model. The record is from RNAcentral.